RNAcentral lists this ribosomal RNA (499 nucleotides) under uncultured bacterium. RNAcentral describes it as "bacterial SSU rRNA". It matches the Rfam family "Bacterial small subunit ribosomal RNA", at positions 28 to 518 of the family's 1533-position model. The record is from RNAcentral.
GAUGAACGCUAGCUACAGGCUUAACACAUGCAAGUCGAGGGGCAGCGGGGAUCUAGCUUGCUAGAUUUGCCGGCGACCGGCGCACGGGUGAGUAACACGUAUCCAACCUGGCCCAUACUCGGGUAUAGCCUCUCGAAAGGGAGAUUAAUCCCCGAUGUUGUUGUUUCACCGCAUGGUGUACCAACCAAAGAAUUUCGGUAUGGGAUGGGGAUGCGUUCCAUUAGCUUGUUGGCGGGGUAACGGCCCACCAAGGCGACGAUGGAUAGGGGUUCUGAGAGGAAGGUCCCCCACACUGGAACUGAGACACGGUCCAGACUCCUACGGGAGGCAGCAGUGAGGAAUAUUGGUCAAUGGGCGAGAGCCUGAACCAGCCAAGUAGCGUGAAGGAUGACUGCCCUACGGGUUGUAAACUUCUUUUGUUGGGAAUAAAGUUCAGCACGUGUGCUGUUUUGUAUGUACCAUUCGAAUAAGCAUCGGCUAAUUCCGUGCCAGCAGCCGC